GGCGAGGACGCGUAGACGCUCUAUCAGACUUCCGGACCAUAGAUGCAGCGAUGCUCUGCGCCUGCGUGCGGUCGGAGCUGAGCACAUGCGCAGACCGAGAAGGCGGCUGGGCUCCCGACCGCGGGAGGCCAGCUGGCGAAUGGGGCUUUGCCACAUCGGCGCGAGAACCCAGCUUCCGGCUGGCCAUCUUGGGCGUAGAGCUCUUGCCCGAGGCUUUGCCGUAACUGUGAAAGACGUUAUGUUCCUACAGUUGAAAGAAGUACUCUCAAGUGGGGGUUCACGGCGGCCACGUGCGUGUUCCCGGGCAUCGCGGAGCCUGGGACAAGCCCUCUCCGCCUUCCCCAGCGCCCCAGAGCUCGGCAGGGACGCGCCCGGCUGGAGGCUCAGCCUGCAUUCCUUUGUCGACCGGGAGGCCGAGGGGGAAGCCCGCCCCUGUCCCAGCCCCCCCAAAGAGUCUUGAACCCACUUGUCCGUGAGCAGUACCCAUGUUCCCCUUCUCUGAAGACCCAGGGCGGGGCGGGAGAGCAGCGCCAACCCCAGGUGGUCUGCGCCUUCCCGCGAGAAAGGCCAAGGAAAAGACGCCACCGAGGUCCAGGGCUCAGGAGACCCCACCCGAGCACCGUUGGGCCUACCCUGUCCCUUGCAAGAAAUGAGACGUUGUUCUCCACAGGGUGCCUUGAAGAAGGGGAAAGUAAGCUGGUGAUCCCCCUCAGAUGGCAAAGGAACACUGUCAGUCCUGGGCUGCGCCCCAGUCCUGGCCUCUGAGAGCUGCCUUGACCGGUACUCCUGGGAGAUUCCACACUCCCAGGGCCCAGAAUCUGAUAAAGCAAGGAUCCUUCCCCCACCAACCCAAGGAUAGUAUCCAGAGAAGUGUGCAGAACUAAUGUUCCUACCACCAGGGAUCUGAACGUCUGCCAGAGGGGCCCAGCCUUCUAGAGGUGAGGACCGCAGGAAGACUGGUCCAAGGCCCGGGGAUAUUCACUGGGACUCACCUCCGAUGCCUUCAGGACAAGCUGAUGUGUGAUACCAUUGCCCAGGAAGCUCCCUGGGAGCCAGAUGGAGAGUGUAGUCUGCAAAAGGGCUUCCCUGAGAGUUCGGUUGGUAAAGAAUCCACCUGCAAUGCAGGAGACCUCGGUUUGAUUCCUGGGUUGGGAAGAUGCGCAGGAAAAGGGAUAGGCUACCCACUCCAGUAUUCUUGG
Cervus elaphus (red deer) is the source of this 1199-nucleotide long non-coding RNA. RefSeq lists it as uncharacterized. Lineage: Eukaryota; Metazoa; Chordata; Mammalia; Artiodactyla; Cervidae. The record is from RefSeq and is a predicted model, not a curated record. The transcript has 3 exons.